RNAcentral lists this ribosomal RNA (500 nucleotides) under uncultured bacterium. RNAcentral's name for it is "partial 16S ribosomal RNA". It matches the Rfam family "Bacterial small subunit ribosomal RNA", at positions 28 to 507 of the family's 1533-position model. The record is from RNAcentral.
GACGAACGCUGGCGGCGUGCUUAACACAUGCAAGUCGAACGGGCCUGUCUUCUUUUUUGGGGGGUGGGUUGAGUGGCGAACGGGUGAGUAUCACGUGAGUAACCUGCCCUUCGGUCCUGGAUAACCGCUUGAAAGGGCGGCUAAUACGGGGUGGUCCGGUUGGUCCGCAUGGGCUGGUCGGGAUAGAUUCACUGUUUUUGGUGUUUCGGCGGGGGAUGGGCUCGCGGCCUAUCAGCUUGUUGGUGGGGUGAUGGCCUACCAAGGCGGUGACGGGUAGCCGGCCUGAGAGGGUGGGCGGCCACACUGGGACUGGGAUACGGCCCAGACUCCUGCGGGCGGCAGCAGUGGGGGGUAUUGCACAAUGGGCGGAAGCCUGAUGCAGCGACGUCGCGUGAGGGAUGGAGGCCUUCGGGUUGUGAACCUCUGUUUCCGGUGGUGAAGGCCCUGUCCGUGUGGUGGGGUUGACGGUAGCCGGGGAUGAAGCGCCGGCUAACUACGUG